UGGGUCGGCAAGACGGUCGCGUCGCGGAGCUCGCAAGGGCAUCGCGCCGAGGAACGUCCGGGCUCCACAGAGCAGGGCGGUGGGUAACACCCACCCGGGGCAACCCGCGAGACAGUGCAACAGAAAGUAGACCGCCACGGCGCCCUCUUCGGAGGCGCGACGGGGUAAGGGUGAAACGGUGGUGUAAGAGACCACCAGCGGUUCGGGUGACCGACCGGCUAGGUAAACCUCGCCCGGAGCAAGGUCAGACAGAGGGCGCAUGAGACUGCUCGUCCAGCCCUCGGGUAGACCGCUAGAGCGCUGCGGCAACGUAGAGCCGAGAUAGAUGGCCGUCCAUGCCUCACCGGUUGCGCAAGCGGCUGCGAGGCAAGACAGAACCCGGCGUACUAGCCGGCCCAUUCG
Non-coding RNA from Frondihabitans sp. Leaf304, 402 nucleotides. It matches the Rfam family "Bacterial RNase P class A". Rfam says of the family: Ribonuclease P (RNase P) is a ubiquitous endoribonuclease, found in archaea, bacteria and eukarya as well as chloroplasts and mitochondria. The record is from Rfam. Lineage: Bacteria; Bacillati; Actinomycetota; Actinomycetes; Micrococcales; Microbacteriaceae.